Molecule: long non-coding RNA, 931 nt
Filed under: Calidris pugnax (ruff)
Lineage: Eukaryota; Metazoa; Chordata; Aves; Charadriiformes; Scolopacidae
Description: lncRNA (ENSCPUG00000010353.1)
Source: RNAcentral
AACAGGAUUCAUCUGUCUGCUGAAGCAUGGCUUUCCCCAAAGAUGUAACUGCAAGCAUCAUAUUUAAGAAAUGCCCUUUAAGAGCUAUCCAGAAGAAGAAGAGAAAAUUGAGUUGCUAACGGUGUCUACUCAGGUGCUCACCCAGAUAAGCCACAGAAUACAAUUUCUUCUAGACCAGAGCAUUCCACAGUUCCAGGGACAUUUUGAUAUGGAUCCAGACAAAGCAGGUAAAACUUUGCUCUUGAUUGCCACAUCAGCUACUUUUGUUUGGCCCAGUUAUAAAUAAUAACCCCAGCUCAAUUUGGGCUUUUUAGCAAAACAGACCAGCUGUGAUUUUGGUGACAUAAUUCUCUCAUGUGCCACUUCAGAUAAAAAUUUUGCCCAAUGGACAACCUACAUCAGAUACCUUUUUUAAUAACAAAGCCACAGUGAGUUAAUAGUUUCUUAAUUCAGGAUAACUUUACCAUCAAUCUAUUUUUUUGCAUCAAGUAACACAAUCAAUGGAUGCACAACAAUUUAAUUGUUCUGGAAAAUAUUUUUCAAUUCAGUUCCGAGAUAGGCACUGCUGUUUACUGCACUGCUUCUCUUCUCCCUUUUAAAUCUUUCUGCUCUUAUAUUACAUUAAUUCCAAUAGUCCAUUCACAGUUUUGAUCAAACAGCGCUCAUUCUUGCUCUUCCAAUUACUUGAGAAUAAGUAAAGGACAGGGGAGUGGAGAUAAUCUCUUCUAUUAAGUAAGUUUUAAAUUACCUUUCUUCUUUUGCCUCUUAUUGUUGCCAUAAAAAAUUAUACAAGCAGUGAAAACAUUUUCUUCAGCUCUGUAAUGUGCAAGUAGAAAUUUUGGAGUAGUUACACUGCAAUUACACUUUUUGACCAAAAAGCAGUUAUAUUAAUGGGAAUAAAUAAAGUGUAGUUAUGGUCUUGGUAAUGUAA